GCAAAAACGAUGAUGUUAUGAUUGGUGAUUCAUGUGAUUAUUCCUGGCUACUUAUUUGUUCGAUGAUGGUUGCUGGAGAACAAUAGGGAGGAAGCUGACUACACCUACAUCCAUUACAUAUGGUCAAAACCGAACCACGCUCAUCCCUACAUAUGGAUGUAGGUGAAAUAUAUAAACCCUGGGCUCGAUACAGCUUCCGUGACUACAUACCAAAUUCCGAAUGACUGAUUGCAUAGCCUUAGUGUAUUCUAUCUUCCUCUUCCCCUGCAAAAUAUAUGCCAGUG
This 284-nucleotide long non-coding RNA is filed under the name Daucus carota (carrot). Its description in RNAcentral is "long non-coding RNA (DCAR_LNC001406)". Lineage: Eukaryota; Viridiplantae; Streptophyta; Magnoliopsida; Apiales; Apiaceae. The record is from RNAcentral.